Molecule: ribosomal RNA, 369 nt
Filed under: uncultured organism
Description: bacterial SSU rRNA
Rfam family: Bacterial small subunit ribosomal RNA
Source: RNAcentral
CGUAGGUGGCAAGCGUUGUCCGGAUUUAUUGGGUUUAAAGGGUGCGUAGGCGGCCCUAUAAGUCAGUGCUGAAAUAUCCCGGCUUAACCGGGAGGGUGGCAUUGAUACUGUAGGGCUUGAGUGUAGUCGAGGUAGGCGGAAUUGACGGUGUAGCGGUGAAAUGCUUAGAUAUCGUCAAGAACACCGAUAGUGUAGACAGCUUACUAGGCUACAACUGACGCUGAGGCACGAAAGUGUGGGGAUCAAACAGGAUUAGAUACCCUGGUAGUCCACACUGUAAACGUUGAUUACUCGAUGUUGGCGAUACACAGUCAGCGUCUUAGCGCAAGCGAUAAGUAAUCCACCUGGGGAGUACGCCGGCAACGGUGA